CCAUUUUCCUCCAAGCCCCAAUUCCCCCCUUAUUUCCCUUCAGGCCUCAGACCUCACACACAGCCCAAAAGCCCAAGCCCACUCCCACUUUCCUCAUUGCCCCCCAGUACCUCCCAACCCUCCCUACAGCCCAGGUUACCCCGCAGCCCCUUCUCACCCUGCUCGUCGCCAUGAUUUCUCCCAACCCUACCACCGCCAGGGGGCGCUCUGCGCACCCAGCCCUCCCGACUCUAUGGCUGGCGGGGCGGGCCGGAAGGGGCGUGGCGAAAGCAGAAGGAGGAACACCGGAAGGGGCGUGGCAAAGACAGGAAGAAGGAAGGCGGAAGGGGCGUGGCGAAGGCAGGAAGAUGAAAACCGGAAGGGGGCGUGGCAAAGACAGAAGGGGGAAAGCCGGAAGGGGCGUGGCGUGGUGGCGCUGGAGGUGGCGAGCCCCUUCGGUGUGCUCUUCGCCUGGGAACAUGUCGGAGGGAGUGGACCUGAUUGAUAUCUACGCUGACGAAGAGUUCAACCAGGUGUGGAGCUUGGGAGGGGGGAGGCAAACAGAGGGGGUCUGGUCAAAAAAAAAAAAAAAAAAAAAA
Numida meleagris (helmeted guineafowl) is the source of this 578-nucleotide long non-coding RNA. RefSeq lists it as uncharacterized. The transcript has 2 exons. Lineage: Eukaryota; Metazoa; Chordata; Aves; Galliformes; Numididae. The record is from RefSeq and is a predicted model, not a curated record.